GAUGAACGCUGGCGGCGUGCCUAAUACAUGCAAGUCGAACGCGCAGCGAAAGGUGCUUGCACCUUCCAAGCGAGUGGCGAACGGGUGAGUAACACGUGGAUAACCUGCCUCAAGGCUGGGGAUAACAUUUGGAAACAGAUGCUAAUACCGAAUAAAACUUAGUAUCGCAUGAUACAAAGUUAAAAGGCGCUACGGCGACACCUAGAGAUGGAUCCGCGGUGCAUUAGUUAGUUGGUGGGGUAAAGGCUUACCAAGACGAUGAUGCAUAGCCGAGUUGAGAGACUGAUCGGCCACAUUGGGACUGAGACACGGCCCAAACUCCUACGGGAGGCUGCAGUAGGGAAUCUUCCACAAUGGGCGCAAGCCUGAUGGAGCAACGCCGCGUGUGUGAUGAAGGCUUUCGGGUCGUAAAGCACUGUUGUAUGGGAAGAAAUGCUAAAAUAGGGAAUGAUUUUAGUUUGACGGUACCAUACCAGAAAGGGACGGCUAAAUACGUGCCAGCCGCCGCGGUAA
Molecule: ribosomal RNA, 513 nt
Filed under: uncultured bacterium
Lineage: Bacteria
Description: partial 16S ribosomal RNA
Rfam family: Bacterial small subunit ribosomal RNA
Source: RNAcentral